RNAcentral lists this ribosomal RNA (429 nucleotides) under Bacteroidota bacterium. RNAcentral describes it as "Bacteroidetes bacterium partial 16S ribosomal RNA". It matches the Rfam family "Bacterial small subunit ribosomal RNA", at positions 355 to 776 of the family's 1533-position model. The record is from RNAcentral. Lineage: Bacteria; Pseudomonadati; Bacteroidota.
UAGGGAAUCUUCGGCAAUGGGGGGAACCCUGACCGAGCAACGCCGCGUGAGUGAAGAAGGUUUUCGGAUCGUAAAGCUCUGUUGUUAAGGAAGAACGAGUGUGAGAAUGGAAAGUUCAUACUGUGACGGUACUUAACCAGAAAGGGACGGCUAACUACGUGCCAGCAGCCGCGGUAAUACGUAGGUCCCGAGCGUUGUCCGGAUUUAUUUGGCGUAAAGCGAGCGCAGGCGGUUAGAUAAGUCUGAAGUUAAAGGCAGUGGCUCAACCAUUGUAGGCUUUGGAAACUGUUUAACUUGAGUGCAGAAGGGGAGAGUGGAAUUCCAUGUGUAGCGGUGAAAUGCGUAGAUAUAUGGAGGAACACCGGUGGCGAAAGCGGCUCUCUGGUCUGUAACUGACGCUGAGGCUAGAAAGCGUGGGGAGCGAACAGG